This 407-nucleotide ribosomal RNA is filed under the name uncultured prokaryote. Its description in RNAcentral is "bacterial SSU rRNA". It matches the Rfam family "Bacterial small subunit ribosomal RNA", at positions 355 to 776 of the family's 1533-position model. The record is from RNAcentral. RNAcentral also lists the same sequence under 1 other name.
UAGGGAAUAUUGCACAAUGGAGGAAACUCUGAUGCAGCGACGCCGCGUGAGUGAUGAAGGCCUUCGGGUCGUAAAGCUCUGUCGCAGGGGAAUAACACAAUGAAGGUACCCUGUAAGAAAGGAUCGGCUAACUUCGUGCCAGCAGCCGCGGUAAGACGAGGGAUCCUAGCGUUGUUCGGAAUCAUUGGGCGUAAAGCGGGUGUAGGUGGCUUUGUAAGUCGAGUGUGAAAGCCUGGGGCUCAACCCCAGAAGUGCAUUCGAUACUGCGAAGCUUGAGUGGUAGAGAGGUUAGUAGAAUUGUUGGUGUAGUGGUGAAAUACGUAGAUAUCAACAGGAAUACCGGAGGCGAAGGCGGCUAACUGGCUACACACUGACACUCAGACCCGAAAGUGCGGGGAUCAAACAGG